GAUGCUGUGGCCUGAGCGUCGAUCGAUACUUCCUUAAACAAGCAUUAACGACCUAAUCGAUUUAGUUCAACUAGAUUCCUAGACCAACUCUCGUAUGCGCCUAGGUAUCUAAUCCAACAGAGUUCGGGUUCCGUUAGUUGAUUGCACUUUCGUGACUCUCAACUAUCCUAUGAUUAUAGGUUCAAACAAUUAGUCACACUGUCGUGUUAUUCUAACUAUUCCAGAUCCUACAAUUACAAAUCACUCUGGUGUUGAAAUCAAUAGAUAACCUAGCAAUCCUAAUUGAUUAUCAGUUUGACAUUAAGCUCAUGAAAUCCCUAAACCUAACAAGAUAAAUUACUCAGACAUGCAAGCAAUAACACAAAUCAUAG
RNAcentral lists this long non-coding RNA (371 nucleotides) under Brassica napus (rape). Its description in RNAcentral is "long non-coding RNA (BNAP_LNC010638)". Lineage: Eukaryota; Viridiplantae; Streptophyta; Magnoliopsida; Brassicales; Brassicaceae. The record is from RNAcentral.